Molecule: ribosomal RNA, 498 nt
Filed under: uncultured bacterium
Lineage: Bacteria
Description: partial 16S ribosomal RNA
Rfam family: Bacterial small subunit ribosomal RNA
Source: RNAcentral
GACGAACGCUGGCGGCGUGCCUAAUACAUGCAAGUCGUGCGGACCUUUUAAAAGCUUGCUUUUAAAAGGUUAGCGGCGGACGGGUGAGUAACACGUGGGCAACCUGCCUGUAAGACUGGGAUAACGCCGGGAAACCGGGGCUAAUACCGGAUCGUUUUUCCUCCGCAUGGAGGAAAAAGGAAAGGCGGCUUCGGCUGCCACUUACAGAUGGGCCCGCGGCGCAUUAGCUAGUUGGCGGGGUAACGGCCCACCAAGGCAACGAUGCGUAGCCGACCGGGGAGGGGGAUCGGCCAAAUUGGGAAUGAGACAAGGCCCAAACUCCUACGGGAGGCAGCAGUAGGGAAUCUUCCGCAAGGGACGAAAGUCUGACGGAGCAACGCCGCGUGAGUGAAGAAGGCCUUCGGGUCGUAAAACUCUGUUGCCGGGGAAGAACAAGUGCCGUUCGAACAGGGCGGCGCCUUGACGGUACCCGGACAGAAAGCCACGGCUAACUACGUG